CAAACGCCCCGAAUCGAAGCCCCGGUAAACGGCGGCCGUAACAAUAACGGUCCUAAGGUAGCGAAAUUCCUUGUCGGGUAAGUUCCGACCUGCACGAAUGGCAUAACGACUUCCCCACUGUCUCGGAGAGGCCCUCAGCGAAGUAGCACUAGGGGUGAAGAUACCCUUUACCCGCGGCAGGACGGAAAGACCCCGUGAACCUUUACUGUAACUUGGCACUGAUUUUCGGGUUAGCUUGCGUAGGAUAGGUGGGAGGCUAUGAAGCCGGGAUUCCGGUCUCGGCAGAGCCAACCUUGAAAUACCACCCUGGCUAACCUAAAAAUCUAACUCGCUUCCGUAAUCCGGAAGGAGGACAAUGCCUGGUGGGCAGUUUGACUGGGGGCGGUCGCCUCCCAAAAAGUAACGGAGGCGCGCGAAGGUUCCCUCAGCCUGAUUGGAAACCAGGC
RNAcentral lists this ribosomal RNA (446 nucleotides) under uncultured bacterium. Its description in RNAcentral is "bacterial LSU rRNA". It matches the Rfam family "Bacterial large subunit ribosomal RNA", at positions 1899 to 2343 of the family's 2925-position model. The record is from RNAcentral.